GCGUUGUUCGGAAUUACUGGGCGUAAAGCGCGCGUAGGCGGCUUUGCAAGUUAGAGGUGAAAGCCCGAAGCUCAACUUCGGAAUUGCCUUUAAAACUGCAUCGCUAGAAUUGUGGAGAGGUGAGUGGAAUUCCGAGUGUAGAGGUGAAAUUCGUAGAUAUUCGGAAGAACACCAGUGGCGAAGGCGGGUCUCUGGACAGUUCCUGACACUGAGGCACGAAGGCCAG
RNAcentral lists this ribosomal RNA (226 nucleotides) under uncultured bacterium. Its description in RNAcentral is "partial 16S ribosomal RNA". It matches the Rfam family "Bacterial small subunit ribosomal RNA", at positions 538 to 763 of the family's 1533-position model. The record is from RNAcentral.